UACGAAGGGAGCUAGCGUUGUUCGGAAUCACUGGGCGUAAAGCGCACGUAGGCGGAUGUGUCAGUCAGGGGUGAAAUCCCGGAGCUCAACUUCGGAACUGCCUUUGAUACAGCACGUCUGAGUCCGAUAGAGGUGGGUGGAAUUCCUAGUGUAGAGGUGAAAUUCGUAGAUAUUAGGAAGAACACCGGUGGCGAAGGCGGCCCACUGGAUCGGUACUGACGCCUGAGGCACGAAAGC
RNAcentral lists this ribosomal RNA (237 nucleotides) under uncultured bacterium. Its description in RNAcentral is "partial 16S ribosomal RNA". It matches the Rfam family "Bacterial small subunit ribosomal RNA", at positions 524 to 760 of the family's 1533-position model. The record is from RNAcentral.